CGCUUUAUUUUAAUCUGUCUCUUUUCAGAAUCACCCCCUUCAUUGAUACCGAUCACCCAACAUCACAAGACAUCCCCAUCUCUCAGCGUGGACUCCCCCUAUCUGACAAUGAAGAAUUUUGCAGAAGACUGCUCUGCAAACACCUGUAAAUACACGCUGAAGGGCAUGGUACUGGGCAUAGAGCUGAGAGGGAGGAUACCAAGUCAGAUGCUGUGUGGAGAAUUGUGACCCCUCUGAAGUCCUGACCUGUCCUUCGUGCUCUUCCUGCCACAAGGAUUUUGCCUAUGGUUUUAGAAUGCUUCUACUACUUCUGUUGAUGCUAAGAAAUACUUCAGAAUUCUUGGCUAUUUAGUGUGCAAGAUUGUCUUCCAAAGUUUGCAUUAUUGAUGUGAUGCCUGGCAGCAGUACUCUAGUUAAGAGAGUGACAGCAUUUCCAUUAAGAAACCUUUUUGAUAGCUAAGUUGGCCAUCAAAGUCGCCUUGUGCUUCAUUUGGCAUGCGGAUUCUCAGACCACAGUACAGAUCCAGACCACAGGAGCUGCUCCUCUCUCGUAUGUUGGGUAAGGGCAAAACUGCACACACAAAAAUGCAUGCACACAAUUUCUGUGCAUGUGAUUCUAUAAAUCUGGACCUGUUUGUAUUAAAUUACAGGAAAAUAUGCAAAGUCCUACAGAUUCCUAUGUUAAUUUGCAUGCUUUUAUCAUAAAGGCUAUGUGCUAUCACAGUAAUCUUAAUAUACAUUGACAGACUACACCAUAACCACUCCAAAAAGCCAUUAGAGUUUAUUUUAUAAAUGUAUAAUAAGAAUUCUAGGCAUAUUCAGCACUGCACAAUUCAAUUUUUUUAUGAUGAUUAUUAUUAUUCACUGACACCUGUAACAGGAGUGGAGCCAUUGAACCUACAUGGUUAAAGCAUUGGACCAAAGGUUCUGAGCACAACCUGGAGCAGUUAGGCUGACAGUUUUCCCCGAAAUGUAAUGGUUGCCUAAUUGCCAGGCAUUGCUCUGAAGAUUCCUGUCUAAACGAUCCAAUGAACGCAUUUCACUGUGAUCUGCCGACAUCAUUGGCAUCCUUGCUGCAGGAAAACAACGCUAUUUAAGCUCUCCAGGCAUUCUUACCAUAGUCCCCAUUUCACUCUUGCUGCAGGAACACCUGACUGCCACGACAGCCUGCCCACUGCAGUGAAGGGCUUUGCAGGCACAUCAGUGGUACAACCCAUCCUGCCAGUCAGGGCUUCAUGGGAAGCUCUGAGCAGUCCCUUGCCACAUGGCUUCUGUACACUGCAACAUUAAAUCCCAGAGUCUUCCACAGAUAAGGCUGCCUUCGAUUUUCUAGUUGCUCUUAAGGGACUGCUAAUGUUAAACACUUAUUUUUUUAAUAUUAGCAUCCUCAGGAGAGAGUGAAUCAUUAGCUUUUUUUGCUGAACUGAACAAUUACAUUAAAUGAUUAUGUCCAGACUGUUAAAGGUAGUGUCAGAGCAGCCUCCAGCAGCCAUCGCACACAGCCUCUGUCAGAACCCUCUGCAUCAGCACCCUAAAGACAUGUGCCAACGCUUCCUUCAGAACAUGCAGAACAGAAGUGAGUGCACCAAAAUGACCAAAAAGGUCUAUGUAAGUACCAGCAGGCUGUAACUUCUGAAAGCCAGGACCUGGAAUCAGUGAAGCUCUCUUCAUGAGGCUGAAACAUUUGCCAGAUUUUAUGCAACAACAAAAUGAUAACAAAAAGCUUCUGUGCGUGCAUUUAUAAAUACACAUGCAAGUGCAUUAUAUAUGUAUAUACAGUUAAAUUUAUGUGCAGGUGGGCAUAUCACAGAAUUGCAGGGGUUGGAAGGGGCUUCUAGAGAUCAUCAAGUCCAACAGCCCUGCUAAAGCAGGUUCCCUAUAUAUGUACAACACACAUAUACAAGAUAAACACAUGUGCACAUCCACAGAUGUGCAUUCUGAAGUAGACAGAGAUCUCUAGGUACUCAACAAAUGUAAUGCCACUUAAAUCACAGGAGCACUUUUGCACAGAGGGCGAGGUGACUAGUCCAAUGCCAUCCAGCAUGUCAAAGAAGAAGCCAAGAACAGCCCAUCCGAGCUGCAGUUCAGACUUCUGGCCUGCUCAAGCUAAACCUGUACCAUGCCUUGGGCUGCCAACCACAUCCUUCCCUUAAAGUGCAGCCAGGAACGGCUCAGCUCUGGUAUAAGCCAUGCUACCAUGUAUAAUCAGGCACAUAGUCCAUGAAUGAAAUGUGUGUCUUAUAAUUAGGUCCACACAAAUGCUGAAACUUCAAAAUACAGUUUAGAAGGGUUUCCAGUACAUCUGAUGCCACAGGCAUCACAGCUCUGCUUCUGGACUUACCAGCUG
Long non-coding RNA from Coturnix japonica (Japanese quail), 2347 nucleotides. RefSeq lists it as uncharacterized. Lineage: Eukaryota; Metazoa; Chordata; Aves; Galliformes; Phasianidae. The record is from RefSeq and is a predicted model, not a curated record.